Nelumbo nucifera (sacred lotus) is the source of this 1380-nucleotide non-coding RNA. The record is from RefSeq and is a predicted model, not a curated record. NCBI's taxonomy places the organism in Eukaryota, Viridiplantae, Streptophyta, Magnoliopsida, Proteales, Nelumbonaceae.
GUUUGACCCAACAGAGCUUUCACCCGACGGGGUUAUGCAGUUCAUAGCUCAGUAUAGAAUUCCUUAUCGGUAUGAGUGUUGCCUUCCUAUCGAGGGCCAAAUUCCUUGUGAGCACGAGGAGAACGAGGUCUACAUCUUCGAGUAGGCCUUGGUGACCGGUCUCAAGUUUCCGCUUCACCCCCUCAUCAUUGAGGUGUUGAAAUAGUACGACAUCUCGAUAGAUCAACUUCACCUGAACUCCACUAAGACCCUUGUAGGCACCACUUGAUUGAGGAGGCACUAAUUCGAGCCGGGUUGAGUCCUCCAGGAGAGAUGGGACGCAUGAACACGUCGGGAGCUCUUGGCGUUGCCAUGAAGAAGUCUAAGAAGAGGAAGGUUGGUGACUCUUCCUGAGCUACGAUAGUAGAACGACUGUGGUUCGAGGAGCAUAGAUCCACUGUAGUUGUUGACCUCGUCAAUGAGGAGAAGGGGGACAAGAUGUGAUUUGUUCUUGCAACAACAAGCAAACCAUCCAAACUUUGGGCAUCCUGUUUGAGCCCAUCCCAGGCGUGAUUGAAACAUAGGCUCCUAAUUUGAACUCGAGGUGAUAUGUUACGACUUCUAACUGGAUUCGGGACCCUUUGGUCACGCUUGAGUUGGGUAGGGGCAUCCUUCUUCCCACGGACGUGAGGAGUUUCAAUGACCAGACUACCCUGGUGUUUGGUGGGAAGUUGAUCUGAGCCAUCCUAAUAGCCAAUAGCAUGGCACAAGUUCUGAUGGGAAGGUGGAAAGCUUCCCAAUGUCAUUACAAGCUAGCCUAGAAGGAGGUGGAUGGCCUCCAAACUCAGUUGGUUGGAGCUCGGGUCAGCGUGUGGCAGUCAGCAGAGCAUCUUGAGGCGAUCAAAGCCGAGAAUGCCAGCAUGUCUAAGAGGUUGGUUGAGUCUGAGAAGAACGUGAAGUCCUUGAUGACCGAGCUAGAGUAGCAAGCUGUUGAGCUGGUGGAGAGGAGGGCCAUACAUUGUGAGGACAUCCACCUAGCACAGGAGAAGGCUAUGGAGGACUUCUACGCUUUGUCGUUGGGCCUUAAGGAGAAGAACAAAUAUGCCGCCAUUACCCUAAAGAAGGGCUUCAAAUUAUGUCAUCAUCUUGUUGGAUCGCUCUUCUCGAAUUACUCUCGAUUGGCUAGUGCUCUCGACCCUCACUACCUACAUUAUAUAGGAGGUCAAUGAGGAGCUGGGCACUAAGGAGGAGGAGGACAGAGACAUCAAGGAGGACGACAUAGAAACCGAGAAUGAUAACUAGCUCCAGCCCCCAAACCAAGAGUGACACUUAGACUCUUUUCUUGGACCCCCUGUAUAUAUGAUGUAUCACAAACCUCUGAGCUUCUGUUGUUUGUUUGAA